UCUUCUACAGAAAUAGGUCCUAAAUCCACAGAAGAGUUUGAAAUAUUAAUUGCCAAGGAAAGCCUCUAAAAUUGUAAGGAAUGUUUGACAUCAGAAAAGUUCUAAUCCCAAAAUGGCCUUGUGGACUCAAAAGAUACAACAAAAUAACAACUGGGCUCUAGUUAGAGGGUGGCGCAACUGCACAUGUUAAGACACACAAAUUAGUAAAACAUAACCUACAGUCAUUGCAUCUUAAAGGAAUAGAACUAGUAAGCUUCCUGUUGUCAUCAUCGAUGAUCGCCAACAUGCCAAAAUCUG
Molecule: unclassified non-coding RNA, 297 nt
Filed under: Hevea brasiliensis (rubber tree)
Lineage: Eukaryota; Viridiplantae; Streptophyta; Magnoliopsida; Malpighiales; Euphorbiaceae
Source: RNAcentral